ACACUCAAGAAGGUCUUGGGAUUUGGAAUAUUUUGUAGUUAUCAAUUAAGAAUGCUUGAUUUGUAGUUGAUUGUUUUAGGGAGCAAACCUAGUAUGGUCUGCUUUUUCUUCCGGUCUUAAACUAAUCUGACCAAAUUCACCAUCCUUUUACCUCCCAUAGGUGAUACAAAUUAUUAAUAGGAGAUUUUUCUUUAGAUGGCUUUAUGAGGAUUUACAAGUUGGAUUACAUUUAGGUCAGGGCUGGAGGCUCAGUUCACCUGGGUCAGAGGUGUUUAUUAUAAUAUAACCACAUAGUUACUGCAAAAGUUAAAAUCUAUGAUGAAAAUAAUUUCCUAUAUAAAAGGUAAACAUUCUAUAGGCUUCUGUAUAGUUCAGUUAUAUAGAGUGCUUAUGUAGGAUGCCUGGUCUCCAGAAACACAUACAUAUUAGUGUGUCUGGGUGGAUGGGUGGGGAUUCCUUGUUUCUAUCUUUUGACUCUUCUGAUCCCAAAGAGAUCACUAAUAUUGAUAUUUUAGAAAAUUUUAAUUUGUAAACAACAUUGGUAUAUUUAUUUCUACAUAGUAUGCUUUAAAGAUAUAUCAUCUAAAUGAUAAUCAUAUCUCUUUGGAAAUUGUAUUUAAUGAUACUUUAUUGAUUUUCAUGUCACCACAUAUAAAACUGCAUUGCUUAUUUUAGUAAUUAAAUGGCAUGCUGUUAUUUAUUUCACAUUUAUGUUGUUGCUAGGUCUGUUUGCUUGAAUGAAAUCAUGAUAAAAAUAAUGCUUGUGCAUGUAUCUGUACACACAUAUGUAGGCUCUUUCUGUACAUAUAUGUAUAGUUAUUAGAUCAGAACAUUCAUAAAGAAAAUUGGAUAGAUUGCUACGUUCAUAAAUUUAAGUGUAAUAAAUGUAGUCAAAAGUAACUUCAUGUGCCUAAAUCAUGGCAUAGAGCAUCAGUAGUGACCCCGAGACAUAACCCUCCCCCCAGUCCAGUUCUUACUACCUUGAUGCUUUUAUCAUGGUCUGUAGCUUGAGUUUGAUUUUGAUAUAAAUAGAACCAUACUUUGUGCUAUGUUUUUGUUUGUUGCUUAUGAAAUCAGUUAUCUCUUGCAUUUAGUAGGCUAUUCUCAGUCCUGAAUAUAGUGUUCCUUCUGUCAUUGCAGACUGUUUCUAGAGUGGGCUAUGUGUGCUCAGAGCAGAUUGUUUAACCAGCCAAGUGGAAAGGACUAGUUUUAAUCCCCAAACACAUCUUCCUUUCGCUCCAACAAAAGAUUGUUUCUAGGUAUUGACCAUUCUGAGAAGUGCUUCUUUGAGUAUUCUUGGAUGUGCCUUUUUGUGCCUAUUUUUACUCAUUGCUGUUGCCUGUUUCCUCAGGAUGCAAUUUUGUAGCUUGGUAAGUGUCCUGCUCCACCAGAAGUCUGUGAUUGGUUUGGCCAAGUUAUAAAGAUUGUUCCAUAUCCUUGGUAUCUGGUCUUGUCAUGUACUACAUUUUCACUGUAACCAUUUUAGUUGUAUAAUGUAAUGAAGUGUGGUUUUAGCUUUCCUUUCACUGGUAACUAGUGAGGUUUGGUAACUUGUCCUGUUUAGCCACACUUCCUCUAUGUACUGUUGUUUGAGUUGAGUUUUUGCAGGUGAUAUGAGAACCAAACCAAACCAAACCAAAACUUUUUUUUUCCCCCUGAUUGCUGUUUAGUUUUGUAAACUAACCAAGAGAUACCUUCUUUCGGUUUCCCAUUGGUAUCAGUCUGGGUAUAGCAGUGUAUAAUGAAUGUGUAGUAGAAGGUUUUUUUUUCUUCCUUCAUGCCUUUGUCACUGUCUCUCUUCUCUUCCCUUCCAUUCAGUGCCCCCCGACCCCCGGGUCCUCCCCUUCUCUUCUCUCUUACUUAUUUAUUCUGUCAGUAUGUCCAGGGUAUCAUGUAGGUUGGCCUACUCACUGUGUAGCUGAGAUGACCUUGAAGCCUUGCUUCUCUUGCCUCCACUUCCCAGGUAUGAGGCCUGCAGUCAUGGGUACCAUUCCUCUGAUAGCUUUGCUUUUAAUAAGGACUUGUACUAGAUAUGACUUGAUGCCGUCUUAGGAUAAUAAGGUAAUACACACUGAGAAGAUACUGAAGGUUCUAAACCAUAAAGAACAAAAAUGUCUGCAACUUCUGUACUCUAGAAUAACCCCUCUUAAUGCUUCUUUGGUAGCAUUGUAGUAUUUCUUUUGUUGUUAUUUUCCAGUGUAGGUGUUUGUGUGUUUGGACAAAACAUAUGUGUAUAUUUGCAUAAUGUUUUCAAAUAUCUUUUCAUAUUUAUUCCUAUUUCCCACUUAACCUUUACCAUGAAUAUUUCUCUUUUAUGUUAAUCGAAUGUGAUAUUACCAAUAACUGUAAUCAUAGUUUAUUAUUGAGUAAUAGACUUUAUAGUUUUAUUAUUAUAAAUAAUACUGCAGUUUUGCAUGGACAUUGUUACGGUUUUUUAUUUCUUUGGUAUGGGUUUCUUUAGGCUUUGGAAAUAUAAUUCUAAAUUAUAAUUCACACACAC
This 2500-nucleotide long non-coding RNA is filed under the name Mus musculus (house mouse). RNAcentral's name for it is "long non-coding RNA chr16:33443692-33446192". Lineage: Eukaryota; Metazoa; Chordata; Mammalia; Rodentia; Muridae. The record is from RNAcentral.